Molecule: long non-coding RNA, 631 nt
Filed under: Piliocolobus tephrosceles (Ugandan red Colobus)
Lineage: Eukaryota; Metazoa; Chordata; Mammalia; Primates; Cercopithecidae
Description: lncRNA (ENSPTEG00000025387.1)
Source: RNAcentral
UGUUUUAGAGCGUGGAGAUGACAAAUUACACUUGCAUUUCACUUAACAGGAUUCAACUAUAUGUGUCCAGAAAAAGGAAAGAUGAAGUGAAAGAAUGAAGAAAAAAAUGGUACACUACUGAAGAACACCAAGAAGAAAAGUUCAUCCAACAAAAACAACGUUUUGAUGUCUGUCCCUCACUCAAUUUUAAAACAUUUCAAGAUAUGCUGCUCCCUGGAAUCAUGUUCCUGGCUCCUGGUAGUCCCUGACUUUACCUGUCUGUUCCAGGAACCUGCUUUAAGGCCAUUUGUUCUGAUGAUCAGUUUGGACAACCACCCUUUAUUCCACCACCUCAGACCAUAUUCAACAUCCUGGAACCAUCAUAGCAGAAAUCUCAAGAAGUAUAUGCUUCUCUGAAGGUCACAUGCCUCACUGAUCUUGGAGGAUGGGUUGACUUCAAGUUCAUGUUCUUCUCUUUUACUAAAGUUGCAUUUAUUGGUCUUAGAUUAUCUGUCAAGAAGGAUGGGAAGGAAAAUUAAAAUGCAAGCUCCAAGAGGGUACACGCUGUUUUGUUCAUCAUUCUCCAAGUGUCUAGCGUAGCUUGAAGCAUAAAUAGGAAUUUAAUAAAUGCUUAUUGAAUGAAUGAAGGUCA